GAGCUCCCAUGGCGCCUGUUUAUCAAAAACAUGGUUUUUUGGGUUGAUAAAAAAUCUAACCUGCUCAGUGCUUAGGUAAAUGGCCGCAGUAAUUUGACUGUGCUAAGGUAGCAUAAUCAUUUGUCUUUUAAAUGGAGGCUGGUAUGAAAGGUUGGCCGAAGGAAAAGCUGUCUCCUUAUUAAUUAAUGAAUUUAAUUAGCCUGUAAGAAUGCUGGUAUGCCUCUGAAGGACGAUAAGACCCUAUUGAGCUUGAUUUAAUAAUUUUACUGGGGCGGUAGUAUAAGAGGAAGAUCUUAUUUAUAACAAUAAAAUAUUUGGGACCCAAUAUUAUUGAGGACAAGAUAAAGUUACCAUAGGGAUAACAGCUUAAUUUUCUUUUAAAGUCCUUAUUUAAGGGAAAGAUUGAGACCUCGAUGUUGAAUUAAAAUGUCUUUUUGGCGAAGAAGUUAGGAAAGAAAGUCUGUUCGACUUUUAAAUUUUUACGUGAUCUGAGUUCAGACCGGCCAUGGGAA
RNAcentral lists this ribosomal RNA (512 nucleotides) under Sinothela sp. XUX-2012-272. RNAcentral's name for it is "partial 16S ribosomal RNA". It matches the Rfam family "Bacterial large subunit ribosomal RNA", at positions 1777 to 2628 of the family's 2925-position model. The record is from RNAcentral. Lineage: Eukaryota; Metazoa; Arthropoda; Arachnida; Araneae; Liphistiidae.